UACGUAGGGGCCGAGCGUUGUCCGGAGUUAUUGGGCGUAAAGCGCGCGCAGGCGGCCUCGCGCGCCCGACGUGAAAGCCCCCGGCUUAACCGGGGAGAGUCGUUGGGGACGGCGGGACUUGAGGGCGGGAGAGGGUGGUGGAAUUCCCGGUGUAGUGGUGAAAUGCGUAGAGAUCGGGAGGAACACCCGUGGCGAAGGCGGCCACCUGGGCCGACCCUGACGCUGAGGCGCGGAGGCGUGGGGAGCGAACGGG
RNAcentral lists this ribosomal RNA (253 nucleotides) under uncultured bacterium. RNAcentral describes it as "partial 16S ribosomal RNA". It matches the Rfam family "Bacterial small subunit ribosomal RNA", at positions 524 to 776 of the family's 1533-position model. The record is from RNAcentral.